Suricata suricatta (meerkat) is the source of this 710-nucleotide long non-coding RNA. RefSeq lists it as uncharacterized. Lineage: Eukaryota; Metazoa; Chordata; Mammalia; Carnivora; Herpestidae. The transcript is spliced from 3 exons. The record is from RefSeq and is a predicted model, not a curated record.
AGAACUCCGUCACAUGGCCCCGCCCACUGCAAGGGAGGAUGGGCAAUGGAGUCCGGCCCUGGGUCCCGGAGGAAGCCGCAGCCGCAAGCACUGGUGGUCACUAACCACACCUGCCUCGACCCUCCGCCGUGACCUCAGCCUACCCAGCUCCUGUGGUCACUUCCAACCUCACCCUGGUCUGCGUGGCUGACCCCCAGCGCCCGGCCCAGUCCAUGAGGAGCAUCGGUGGGACCCCCCGGGCCUGAUGGCCAGACCCUCUUCAUUUCCAGUCUCUCCGGGGCACACUCAGUGGUCUAUACCCGCAAGGCCUCCAACUCCGUUUCCAGCUCGCACAGCAGCGUGGACCCCGGCCUCACUCUCAGAGCACUGGAGCUUCCUUCCUUGCCUCAGACUCGGCCCCUCCGCCUGCUGGACUCUCGCCUGACCCACCCCUGCACCUGCCAGGGCUCAGGUUUGAUGUCUUCUCUUCCAGGAAGCCCUCCCUGACCUCCAAACUGGGUCAUGUGCCUCCUCUGGGCUCCCCAAACCCUGCCCAUGCUGGGUUGGCACUGCUGGGGGACAAGCCCCUCUAUCCUACCAGACUGUGAGCUCUCGUGGGCAGGGCUGGGGAUGUCGUGGUCACUACUGUGUCCCCAACACUACUAAGCACAGGGAUCCCCACAGAAGAGAUGUUCAAGGAAUAUUUGUUAAUGAAUAAGAAAGUGAAUGAA